UUUCCGUAGGCGAACCUGCGGAAGGAUCAUUACAGUAGUCGCCCGGGUUGCCGCAAGGCCUCCCGGGUAACCUACCACCCUUUGUUUAUUACACUUUGUUGCUUUGGCAGGCCUGCCCUCGGGCUGCUGGCUCCGGCCGGCGAGCGCUUGCCAGAGGACCUAAACUCUGUUUGUCUAUACUGUCUGAGUACUAUAUAAUAGUUAAAACUUUCAACAACGGAUCUCUUGGUUCUG
This 234-nucleotide unclassified non-coding RNA is filed under the name plant metagenome. RNAcentral describes it as "partial contains small subunit ribosomal RNA, internal transcribed spacer 1, and 5.8S ribosomal RNA". The record is from RNAcentral.